RNAcentral lists this ribosomal RNA (450 nucleotides) under uncultured bacterium. RNAcentral's name for it is "bacterial SSU rRNA". It matches the Rfam family "Bacterial small subunit ribosomal RNA", at positions 29 to 524 of the family's 1533-position model. The record is from RNAcentral.
AACGAACGCUGGCGGCAUGCCUAACACAUGCAAGUCGAACGAAGUCUUCGGACUUAGUGGCGCACGGGUGCGUAACGCGUGGGAAUCUGCCCUUGGGUGCGGAAUAACUUCUCGAAAGGGAUGCUAAUACCGCAUAAUGUCGUAAGACCAAAGAUUUAUCGCCCAAGGAUGAGCCCGCGUAAGAUUAGCUAGUUGGUGGGGUAAAAGCCUACCAAGGCGACGAUCUUUAGCUGGUCUGAGAGGAUGAUCAGCCACACUGGGACUGAGACACGGCCCAGACUCCUACGGGAGGCAGCAGGUGGGAAUAUUGGACAAUGGGCGAAAGCCUGAUCCAGCAAUGCCGCGUGAGUGAUGAACGGCCCUAGGGUUGUAAAGCUCUUUACCAGGGAUGAUAAUGACAGUACCUGGAGAAUAAGCUCCGGCUAACUCCGUGCCAGCAGCCGCGGUAAU